ACUUUCUGUUGAUGACACGGUAAACUGGAUGCAGGUUAAGUCGCGAAUGAUGGGAGAUUCCACAUACAAAAAUACCCUUGAUUGUUUUGUCAAAACAUUGAAGAAUGAUGGACCUUUAGCUUUCUAUAAAGGCUUUAUCCCAAAUUUUGGACGCUUGGGAUCGUGGAAUGUCAUUAUGUUUCUGACAUUGGAGCAGGCGAAAAAGUUUGUAAAAAACUUAGAAUCAGCUUGAUGUCAAAGAGAUGGAUCAUCAAGCAAAGGAUUACUAUAUACACAUUAAAAAUGGAUUGGCUCAGCAACCAUUAAAACAACGAUUGUUUGCAACAUUCCCUUUUUUCCAUUUUCAUGAAUAAUUUGUCCGAAUGGAGAACACAGGAACUGUGGGAGAGAAACUCAGAGGCGUUUGAUAGGUUUUCCCCUCUUACCAUUGUUGUAGACUGCAAAUGUUGUACCCUUCUUUCCUUUUGGUUACUAGGGGAUUCUAUUACUGAUUUAUGGGAAUUGACUCCAAUGAUAAACAAUGAAGAUUCAGCUCGAGCUGUGUGUGCUUCU
Non-coding RNA from Nicotiana tabacum (common tobacco), 552 nucleotides. Lineage: Eukaryota; Viridiplantae; Streptophyta; Magnoliopsida; Solanales; Solanaceae. The record is from RefSeq and is a predicted model, not a curated record.